This 375-nucleotide ribosomal RNA is filed under the name Acinetobacter baumannii OIFC083. RNAcentral describes it as "bacterial SSU rRNA". It matches the Rfam family "Bacterial small subunit ribosomal RNA", at positions 34 to 411 of the family's 1533-position model. Lineage: Bacteria; Pseudomonadati; Pseudomonadota; Gammaproteobacteria; Moraxellales; Moraxellaceae. The record is from RNAcentral.
CGCUGGCGGCAGGCUUAACACAUGCAAGUCGAGCGGGGGAAGGUAGCUUGCUACCGGACCUAGCGGCGGACGGGUGAGUAGUGCUUAGGAAUCUGCCUAUUAGUGGGGGACAACAUCUCGAAAGGGAUGCUAAUACCGCAUACGUCCUACGGGAGAAAGCAGGGGAUCUUCGGACCUUGCGCUAAUAGAUGAGCCUAAGUCGGAUUAGCUAGUUGGUGGGGUAAAGGCCUACCAAGGCGACGAUCUGUAGCGGGUCUGAGAGGAUGAUCCGCCACACUGGGACUGAGACACGGCCCAGACUCCUACGGGAGGCAGCAGUGGGGAAUAGUGGACAAUGGGGGGAACCCUGAUCCAGCCAUGCCGCGUGUGUGAAGA